UGUGAUAAUUGGAAAGUGUUAUCUUAUCAGUACUUUGGGUUUAAAAGAUGAGUUGAAAUUUGUCAUUAUUUUAGUUGUGAUGUUAAAUGUGAUAAUUGGAUAGUAUUAUCUUAUCUGUACUUUGGGUUAUAAAGAUGAGAUGAAAUUUGUCAUAUUAUUUUAGUUGUGAUGUUAAAUGUGAUAAUUAUCUUCAUUUUGGGUUUAAAAGAUGACGAGUUGAAAAUUGUUACAUUAUCUUAGUUGUGAUUUUAAAAGGUGAUAAUUAAAAAAAAAAAAAAACAUUAUUCUUACCUUUAUUUUUGGGGUUUAAAAGACGACAAGUGGAAAACCAUUAUCUUACCUUCAUUUUAAAAAGCAACACAUGAAAAACUGUCAUCUUCACCUUAUUUGCACUUUAAAAACAGACAAAAAAAAAAAAAAGUAACUUAAUUUUGACAUUCACUUUUAAAAGGCAACAAGACGCGACAAAUCCGAGGCGUCACACCCAGGAGGCAGUGACGGAGGGAGGAACUGUACAUUGGGAGGGAAAAAUAACCUAGCAAAAAUUUAAACAUUGCCAUAAAAAAAAAAGAAAGAAAGAAAGAAAAAGACUUGGGCGUUGUUUGCGAGGGUGACAGUGCAACAUAGGAAGACGUGUGUGUGUGUGUGUGUGUGUGUGUGUAUAGGUAACCCAUCCACACAAAUAGCAGCAAUUGAAGUGUUGCCAUAAGAGAGAGAGAAAAAAAAUAGUGGAGUGUUAUCAGAGGUACAGGUAAAUCUCAGUAAAGGAAUGUAGAAAUCACAAAGAAAAUAAUAAUUCGCUUCAUUCUAACUUACAAUAUACAAGUGACAAGCGUUAGGUAAUUAAUAAUCUCAAAAUCUAAUACCAUUUUGCCUUAAUAAACCCUUAUAAACCCUAAUUCAGUCUGUAAGGUAUAACAAAUGUUUCUGUUUGUUUCUCUAACUUUACAUGCUCGAGUGCUUAUGUGUAUUAUUUAACAGUUUUCUUAUUUUACUUAUUUGGGAAGUGAUAACCUUGUGUUGGAGUUUUGCAUUAAUCUGGGUGUCUGUCUGUCUGUCUGUCUGUCUGUCUGUCUGUCUGUCUGUCUCUCAUAAUGCUUAAGGGUUGUCAUUCUUCUGAUUCUUUUAUUUCUGAUUUGCUCUCUUCUUGUUAGGAUAGGGGAGUGUAUGUUUGCUCUCUCUCUCUCUCUCUCUCUCUCUCUCUCUCUCUCUCUCUCUCUCUCUCUCUCUCUCUCUCUCUCUCUCUCUCUCUCUCUCUCUCUGUUCCUUUCAAUUAUUUCGUUUUUUCACAUUUAACCAUUAUUUUCUUUUCUCUUCCUUACUAUCUUCCUUUCUCUCUUAACUCCCUCCUUCCCUUCAUCCUUUAAUCCUUUCCUUCCCUUCUCUUCCUCCUUUCCUUCUUUCCUUCUUUUUCUUGUCACACCACUUUUUUUUCACCUUCCCUCUCUCCCUCUCUUUCCUCACUUCUUCCAUUCUUCCUUUCUCUCACUCUUUCUCUCUGUGUGUGUGUGUGUGUGUGUGUGUGUGUGUGUGUGUGAGUGAGUGAGUUGCUGUGGGUACUUAACCAGUGAGAUGCUGCAAGGCGCUGUGUGGUGCUGUGUGGGGUUCCUGCUGGUGUAAUGGGAGGGUGGUGGUACAAGUGGAUGCUGUGUGAGUGGCUGUGCAGGGGGAGUGCUGGGGGUGUCUGGGCAUGGAGGGGGACACUGAGGCAUAUUCAGGCAUGGGGGACCAGUAAGGCUUCACCACUAACAGAUAACAAGUGAGGUGCAUGGUGGGUGUUCAGGGCCUUGUUUGGGCUGGCAUGUCUUGUGUGGUGUGUGCUGUGGUGUGUGCUGUGGUGUGUGUGUGUGUGUGUGUGGUUCAUUUGAGUCUGUGUGUCGUAAUAAUUGCCUUGCUGUGUUGACAUAAAGUGACGCGUUGAAGGUUGACGUAAAAGUUUUGUUGACUGAAAGCUGAUAGAGGGAGUUGACGGAAAGUGAAUGUUGAAGGUUGACGUAAAAGUUUUGUUGACUGAAAGCUGAUAGAGGGAGUUGACGUAAAGUGAAUGUUGAAGGUUGACGUAAAAGUUUUGUUGACUGAAAGCUGAUAGAGGGAGUUGACGUAAAGUGAAUGUUGAAGGUUGACGUAAAAGUUUUGUUGACUGAAAGCUGAUAGAGGGAGUUGACGUAAAGUGACGCAUUGAAGGUUGACGUAAAAGUUUUGUUGACUGAAAGCUGAUAGAGGGAGUUGACGUAAAGUGAAUGUUGAAGGUUGACGUAAAAGUUUUGUUGACUGAAAGCUGAUAGAGGGAGUUGACGUAAAGUGAAUGUUGAAGGUUGACGUAAAAGUUUUGUUGACUGAAAGCUGAUAGAGGGAGUUGACGUAAAGUGAAUGUUGAAGGUUGACGUAAAAGUUUUGUUGACUGAAAGCUGAUAGAGGGAGUUGACGUAAAGUGAAAUGUUGAAGGUUGACGUAAAAGUUUUGUUGACUAAAAACUGAUAGAGGGAAAUUAAAAGGGAGAUUAAAAGAUGUAAGAUGUGCUGUUAUAGUGGUUCACAAUUAAAGAUCUGUUAACUGACUGAUGUGCAUGUAUUGACGUAAAAAGGGACUUAGAGAAGACUUGGGUGAAAGAUCUAUUGACAAAAUAUUAACAGGAGAAAAUAGAAAAGUUAACAGGAUAUGAGAUGUGCUGUUAUAGUUGUUCUGAGUUAAAGACCUGUUAACUGACGUGCAAAAAUCAUUAUGUAUUGACGUAAAAAGUGACAGCGAAGACUUGCGUAAAAAUUCUAUUGACGUAAAAGAUGUGCAAAUGACUCGGAUGUGUAAGACUCCUGCGGAAGUUACACCGUGUUGACGUAAAAACCGACUUAGUGAAGAUUGACAUAAACAAUGAACUGACACAAAAUACAUUAAUGAAUAGAAGUAAGUAAGAAAAGAUUAAAAAUAUAAAUAGCUCAAGUAAUGAUUUAAGUUUGGCUGACACAAGAUUGGUACAAGAACCUCAAAAUUCCUGUUGACUGAUUUGUGUGUUGACUUAAAACUGACUUGAGUGUUGUUUUGAGUGUGUGUGUGUGGAAGGUGUGUGGAGAGAGAGAGAGAGAGAGAGAGAGAGAGAGAGAGAGAGAGAGAGAGAGAGAGAGAGAGAGAGAGAGAGA
Molecule: long non-coding RNA, 3134 nt
Organism: Scylla paramamosain (green mud crab)
Lineage: Eukaryota; Metazoa; Arthropoda; Malacostraca; Decapoda; Portunidae
Exons: 2
Source: RefSeq, a predicted model, not a curated record